Molecule: ribosomal RNA, 253 nt
Filed under: uncultured bacterium
Lineage: Bacteria
Description: partial 16S ribosomal RNA
Rfam family: Bacterial small subunit ribosomal RNA
Source: RNAcentral
GACAGAGGGUGCAAACGUUGUUCGGAAUUAUUGGGCGUAAAGCGCGCGCAGGCGGUCCCUUAAGUCUGAUGUGAAAUCCCACGGCUCAACCGUGGAAGGUCAUUGGAAACUGGGGGACUUGAGUACAGAAGAGGAAAGCGGAAUUCCAAGUGUAGCGGUGAAAUGCGUAGAGAUUUGGAGGAACACCAGUGGCGAAGUCGGCUUUCUGGUCUGUAACUGACGCUGAGGCGCGAAAGCGUGGGGAGCAAACAGG